Neltuma alba is the source of this 378-nucleotide long non-coding RNA. RefSeq lists it as uncharacterized. The transcript has 3 exons. The record is from RefSeq and is a predicted model, not a curated record. NCBI's taxonomy places the organism in Eukaryota, Viridiplantae, Streptophyta, Magnoliopsida, Fabales, Fabaceae.
AAGCUCCAUUACACGGUGUUUGAUUCAACGGGCAUAUGUUCAAUCAUAUUUUUCAAUCGUCUUGCUUAUGAUUUGAUUGGCUUCUCAGCUGAGGAGUUGAAGACAAAGGUAGCAAAGGACAAAAACCCAGGUUCUUUUCCAAAAGAAUUGAGCAAUUGUGUGGGGAAAGAAAUGAUCGUCAAGCUAAAGAUCAAAGAAAGCAAUAUUAGGUAUCGAAAUAGUAGUAUGGGUGUUAUCCAGUUCUCUACCGAUAAAAAGAUGCUGAAAAACUUUGCGUACUCUGCUACCGAGGGAAGUCAACUUAAUGAAUCUGAAAAUAUCACUUAUGAGAAGGCUACAGUUGACACUUCAUCAUCACAACCAACAACAUUGUUGUCA